This is a long non-coding RNA of Oryzias melastigma (Indian medaka), 357 nucleotides long. RefSeq lists it as uncharacterized. The record is from RefSeq and is a predicted model, not a curated record. NCBI's taxonomy places the organism in Eukaryota, Metazoa, Chordata, Actinopteri, Beloniformes, Adrianichthyidae. The transcript is spliced from 3 exons.
ACGAGUUUGAUGUGAAGUAUAUUCAUUAUCUCUCUUGUGAGCUUUUAUUCACUGUAGAUUUGAACACUUUUAGGUCAAGAAAACUUUCUGAAGGAACUCUCCAGAACCUGAAAUCAAUCCACCCACCAGCAGCUUUGAUCGAAUUUGUGAAGAAAAUGUUCAGACUGGAAGCAGAAAGAUACACGAACUUUAGAGGAUGAAAUAAAGAUGACAACAGCUUCCAACACACAUAAAAUGUUUCUGCAGCUCCACCCGAACACUCCUGGAACAGACGACACAACAGCCAUGAAACACGGACUUCAUGGAGUCACCUUUGAGCUUCUUCAGAGCCUCGGUGCUGAAGAUGUCCACCCUCAU